ACGCUAGCUACAGGCUUAACACAUGCAAGUCGAGGGGAAACGGCAUUAAGUGCUUGCACUUUUUGGACGUCGACCGGCGCACGGGUGAGUAACGCGUAUCCAACCUUCCCAUGACUAAGGGAUAACCUGCCGAAAGGCAGACUAAUACCUUAUGGUCUUCACUGACGGCAUCAGAUGCGAAGUAAAGAUUUAUCGGUUAUGGAUGGGGAUGCGUCUGAUUAGUUAGUUGGCGGGGUAACGGCCCACCAAGGCAACGAUCAGUAGGGGUUCUGAGAGGAAGGUCCCCCACAUUGGAACUGAGACACGGUCCAAACUCCUACGGGAGGCAGCAGUGAGGAAUAUUGGUCAAUGGGCGAGAGCCUGAACCAGCCAAGUAGCGUGCAGGACGACGGCCCUAUGGGUUGUAAACUGCUUUUGUAUGGGGAUAAAGUCAAUCACGUGUGAUUGUUUGCAGGUACCAUACGAAUAAGGACCGGCUAAUUCCGUGCCAGCAGCCGCGGUAAUACGGAAGGUCCGGGCGUUAUCCGGAUUUAUUGGGUUUAAAGGGAGCGUAGGCUGGAGAUUAAGUGUGUUGUGAAAUGUAGACGCUCAACGUCUGACUUGCAGCGCAUACUGGUUUCCUUGAGUACGCACAACGUUGGCGGAAUUCGUCGUGUAGCGGUGAAAUGCUUAGAUAUGACGAAGAACUCCGAUUGCGAAGGCAGCUGACGGGAGCGCAACUGACGCUGAAGCUCGAAGGUGCGGGUAUCGAACAGGAUUAGAUACCCUGGUAGUCCGCACAGUAAACGAUGGAUGCCCGCUGUUGGUACGUGGUAUCAGCGGCUAAGCGAAAGCAUUAAGCAUCCCACCUGGGGAGUACGCCGGCAACGGUGAAACUCAAAGGAAUUGACGGGGGCCCGCACAAGCGGAG
RNAcentral lists this ribosomal RNA (910 nucleotides) under uncultured bacterium. Its description in RNAcentral is "bacterial SSU rRNA". It matches the Rfam family "Bacterial small subunit ribosomal RNA", at positions 33 to 934 of the family's 1533-position model. The record is from RNAcentral.